AAUAGAUACCCCGGUAGUCCACGCCGUAAACGAUGGAUGCUAGCUGUACGGAGUAUCGACCCUCUGUGUAGCGAAGCUAACGCGUUAAGCAUCCCGCCUGUGGAGUACGGUCGCAAGACUAAAACAUAAAGGAAUUGACGGGGACCCGCACAAGCGGUGGAGCGUGUUGUUUAAUUCGAUGAUAAGCGAAGAACCUUACCAGGGCUUGACAUCCUGCUAAUCUUUCCGAAAGGAGAGAGUGCCUUCGGGCCGCAGUGACAGGUGAUGCAUGGCCGUCGUCAGCUCGUGUCGUGAGAUGUUUGGUUAAGUCCAUCAACGAGCGCAACCCUUGUGGCUAGUUGAAUUUUUCUAGUCAGACUGCCCUGGCAACAGGGAGGAAGGAGGGGAUGAUGUCAGGUCAGUAUUUCCCUUACGUCCUGGGCUACAAACACGCUACAAUGGCCGGUACAAAAGGGCAGCCAAGUCGCGAGACGGAGCAAAUCCCAUCAAAGCCGGUCUCAGUUCGGAUUGCAGGCUGAAACUCG
RNAcentral lists this ribosomal RNA (524 nucleotides) under uncultured bacterium. RNAcentral's name for it is "bacterial SSU rRNA". It matches the Rfam family "Bacterial small subunit ribosomal RNA", at positions 777 to 1314 of the family's 1533-position model. The record is from RNAcentral.